AUUGAACGCUGGCGGCAGGCCUAACACAUGCAAGUCGAGCGGUAGCACAGAGAAGCUUGCUUCUUGGGUGACGAGCGGCGGACGGGUGAGUAACGCGUGGGAAUCUACCUGGUAGUGGGGGACAACAGUCGGAAACGACUGCUAAUACCGCAUACGCCCCUUGGGGGAAAGUGGGGGAUCUUCGGAUCUCACGCUAUCAGAAGAGCCCGCGUCGGAUUAGCUGGUUGGUGGGGUAAGAGCCCACCAAGGCGAUGAUCCGUAGCUGGUCUGAGAGGAUGACCAGCCACACUGGGACUGAGACACGGCCCAGACUCCUACGGGAGGCAGCAGUGGGGAAUAUUGGACAAUGGGGGCAACCCUGAUCCAGCCAUGCCGCGUGUGUGAAGAAGGCCUUCGGGUUGUAAAGCACUUUCAGCUGUGAGGAAAGGUGAGUGGUUAAUACCCGCUUACUGUGACGUUAACAGCAGAAGAAGGACCGGCUAACUCCGUGCCAGCAGCCGCGGUAAUACGGAGGGUCCGAGCGUUAAUCGGAAUUACUGGGCGUAAAGCGCGCGUAGGUGGUUCAGUCAGUCAGAUGUGAAAGCCCCGGGCUCAACCUGGGAACUGCACCUGAUACUGCUGAGCUAGAGUAC
This 632-nucleotide ribosomal RNA is filed under the name uncultured bacterium. RNAcentral's name for it is "bacterial SSU rRNA". It matches the Rfam family "Bacterial small subunit ribosomal RNA", at positions 28 to 649 of the family's 1533-position model. The record is from RNAcentral.